CCAAUAGCGUAUAUUAAAGUUGUUGCAGUUAAAAAGCUCGUAGUUGGAUUUCUGGUGGGAGCGAUCGGUCUGGCGCUUAGCGCGAGUACUUGCAUCGUCUCCGGCCAUCCUUGGGGAGAGUCUGUCUGGCAUUAAGUUGUCGGGCAGGGGAUCCUCAUCGUUUACUGUGAAAAAAUUAGAGUGUUCAAAGCAGGCUUAUGCCGUUGAAUAUAUUAGCAUGGAAUAAUAAGAUAGGACUUUGGUACUAUUUUGUUGGUUUGCGCACCAAAGUAAUGAUUAAUAGGGACAGUUGGGGGUAUUCGUAUUCCGUUGUCAGAGGUGAAAUUCUUGGAUUUACGGAAGACGAACUACUGCGAAAGCAUUUACCAAGGAUGUUUUCAUUAA
RNAcentral lists this ribosomal RNA (384 nucleotides) under uncultured eukaryote. RNAcentral describes it as "partial 18S ribosomal RNA". It matches the Rfam family "Eukaryotic small subunit ribosomal RNA", at positions 591 to 976 of the family's 1831-position model. The record is from RNAcentral.